UGGGGAAUAUUGCACAAUGGGGGGAACCCUGAUGCAGCAACGCCGCGUGGGUGAAGAAGUAUUUCGGUAUGUAAAGCCCUAUCAGCAGGGAAGAAAAUGACGGUACCUGACUAAGAAGCCCCGGCUAAAUACGUGCCAGCAGCCGCGGUAAUACGUAUGGGGCAAGCGUUAUCCGGAUUUACUGGGUGUAAAGGGAGCGCAGGCGGCGCGGCAAGUCAGAUGUGAAAGCCCGGGGCUCAACCCCGGGACUGCAUUUGAAACUGCCGCGCUGGAGUGUCGGAGAGGCAAGUGGAAUUCCUAGUGUAGCGGUGAAAUGCGUAGAUAUUAGGAGGAACACCAGUGGCGAAGGCGGCUUGCUGGACGAUAACUGACGCUGAGGCUCGAAAGCGUGGGGAGCAAACAGG
This 404-nucleotide ribosomal RNA is filed under the name uncultured bacterium. Its description in RNAcentral is "bacterial SSU rRNA". It matches the Rfam family "Bacterial small subunit ribosomal RNA", at positions 355 to 776 of the family's 1533-position model. The record is from RNAcentral.